CGGUGGAGCAUGUGGUUUAAGUUUCGAAGCAACGACGAAGAACCUUACCAGGCCUGACAUGCAGGAGAACUUUCCAGAGAUGGAUUGGUGCCUUCGGGAACUCUGACACAGGUGCUGCAUGGCUGUCGUCAGCUCGUGUCGUGAGAUGUUGGGUUAAGUCCCGUAAACGAGCGCAACCCCUAUUGCUAGUUACCAUCAUUAAGUUGGGGACUCUAGCGAGACUGCCAGUGAUAAACUGGAGGAAGGUGGGGAUGACGUCAAAUCAUCAUGCCCCUUAUGACCUGGGCUACAAACGUGAUACAAUGGCUGGAACAAAGGGAUGCGAAGCAGUGAUGUGGAGCGAAACCCAUAAAAACAGUCUCAGUUCGGAUUGAAGUCUGCAACUCGACUUCAUGAAGUCGGAAUCGCUAGUAAUCGCGGAUCAGAACGCCGCGGUGAAUACGUUCUCGGGGUUU
This 455-nucleotide ribosomal RNA is filed under the name uncultured Acholeplasma sp. Its description in RNAcentral is "bacterial SSU rRNA". It matches the Rfam family "Bacterial small subunit ribosomal RNA", at positions 930 to 1382 of the family's 1533-position model. Lineage: Bacteria; Bacillati; Mycoplasmatota; Mollicutes; Acholeplasmatales; Acholeplasmataceae. The record is from RNAcentral.